AACGAACGCUGGCGGCAGGCCUAACACAUGCAAGUCGAGCGGACCUUUCGGGGUCAGCGGCGGACGGGUGAGUAACGCGUGGGAAUAUGCCCUUCUCUACGGAAUAGUCCUGGGAAACUGGGGGUAAUACCGUAUACGCCCUUUGGGGGAAAGAUUUAUCGGGGAAGGAUGAGCCCGCGUUGGAUUAGGUAGUUGGUGGGGUAAUGGCCUACCAAGCCGACGAUCCAUAGCUGGUUUGAGAGGAUGAUCAGCCACACUGGGACUGAGACACGGCCCAGACUCCUACGGGAGGCAGCAGUGGGGAAUCUUAGACAAUGGGGGCAACCCUGAUCUAGCCAUGCCGCGUGAGUGAUGAAGGCCUUAGGGUUGUAAAGCUCUUUCAGCUGGGAAGAUAAUGACGGUACCAGCAGAAGAAGCCCCGGCUAACUCCGUG
RNAcentral lists this ribosomal RNA (433 nucleotides) under uncultured bacterium. RNAcentral describes it as "partial 16S ribosomal RNA". It matches the Rfam family "Bacterial small subunit ribosomal RNA", at positions 29 to 507 of the family's 1533-position model. The record is from RNAcentral.